AAGUAUUGUAAGCUCGAUUAGCUCAGCUGGUUAGAGCAUGCGGCUGUUAACCGCAAGGUCGUAGGUUCGAUCCC
Molecule: transfer RNA, 74 nt
Filed under: Tetrahymena pyriformis
Lineage: Eukaryota; Ciliophora; Oligohymenophorea; Hymenostomatida; Tetrahymenidae
Rfam family: tRNA (bases 12-74)
About the family: Transfer RNA (tRNA) molecules are approximately 80 nucleotides in length. Their secondary structure includes four short double-helical elements and three loops (D, anti-codon, and T loops).
Source: RNAcentral